CUCGUCAGCGUGGUCGGGGAGUUCAACAUGAGUACCUUCUUGGCAUUCAAGCUGAGCGCCUAACAAAUUCUGGA
This 74-nucleotide transfer RNA is filed under the name Synechococcus sp. CC9902. RNAcentral describes it as "tRNA-Pro". Lineage: Bacteria; Bacillati; Cyanobacteriota; Cyanophyceae; Synechococcales; Synechococcaceae. The record is from RNAcentral.